AUUUUAACAAACAAAAAUAAGCGUCAGAACCGAAAAGCGAAUUACGUAUGACAUAUUUUGAAUAAAAUGAUGCCGUCCUUCACAUUGGACAUUCACAUCCAAUUCGCAAGAAGUCAAAGUCAAGAUCACAUAAUACCUUACUAAUAAAUACUUCAUUCCCAUAAAUAAAUUAAAUAUUUCUUUAAAAUAUUUUCAAAUUUGUCACAGUUUACUUCGGAAACAUCAGAAAUAUCUAAAAUGCUUUCCUUAACCAAAUCCAUUACCCUCGUCGCCUUGGUGGCUUAUGCCGGAAGCCUUGUUCUACCUGUGGAGUCAACCCCCAUAACUAUUGGAGCAACUGUCUGCUCCCCUGUGGGCGCGGUGAACACGACGAUCAUUGGUCAGCUGAACGUGACCUGCGUUUGCCAGGAGACGCAAGUCACCUUAGUCUUCAUCGAAUACGACAUCACCGCCUGGAAUUGCACCCUCUCCCUCGUCAACAAUGCCACCACCACGACCACGACCCCUGCCCCCACCACGCCUGCCCCUUAAUCAUCAGCCCUAUCUCCAUCUCAAUAUAUGAGAUAUGUACAUAUAUCUAUGUAUAUUUCUACUUAAUUAAAUUUUGUUUAACCUCCCAGUUGAUUAAUUAAA
Molecule: long non-coding RNA, 633 nt
Organism: Folsomia candida
Lineage: Eukaryota; Metazoa; Arthropoda; Collembola; Entomobryomorpha; Isotomidae
Exons: 2
Source: RefSeq, a predicted model, not a curated record